UUUUCUGAUGUAUGUUAUAUUGUCAUUUUUCCCAUCUAUUAUUUAGACCAGUAAGUAAUUCAUAUAGGGACCCCAGUCUCUGGCUACUUCCUAAAUUAUACCUAGAGCAAACAUGGAGAUUACACAGCAAGACAGACAGUCCUGAGUCUCGUGCUGUAACAGCACAGUUACAGUUUCAGACAGCCUGACCAAAAUGCAUGAAUGAAAUGGAAGCUUUCUUUUGAAAAUGUGAUGUCUGGGCACUUUCCCCUGGUUGAACUUAUUUUUCCAAGGAGUGCAUGUUGAGAGAGAAGCUUAGCCUGCUGAUCUUCCUCCAAGACUAAAGAAAGCAUAUCAGUCCAGACAUGAGUUGUCCCAGUGAACAACUUUUCUCACUCUGUCCCGAGCCAUUCUGACCUCUCCCCUCAACCAGCAGAGCCAUCCUGGGCUGAAGCUGUUCCAGCACCCUGGUCUGUAGAGGCCAGAGGUACCCCAUGAUCAAAGCUGCUGUGGCAAACACCUCCCUGGAAUUACAGCAUUCCAAGCAAGCAGACAAGCUUCCUGGUACUCUCAAGAGUUGCUACAUAUGCAAGGAAUAAUGCAAAGUCUCUUUCAUUAGGCUUGGAACAUACCACAACAUGCAGGAAUCCUUCAUUUCCAGCUCCUGUGGAUGGCCUUAGAGAUCCUGCCUGCUUUCUACAAAGAUGAGUGAAGCCAACAGCACAGGUUAAUCCCAGCUGUAAUUUACUGGAAUAACUAACAGGUUGAGGAACUUGUUUGUUUAUCAAUGAGAAGGGAGAAAAAGGAAGCAGUAGCUCCCUAUUUGCCGUGGCUUCGUGGCAAAGGGCAUUAGUUACUGACACACAAAUCACCCAAUUUGCAACUCUCUAAAGUAUAGCUGUAAAAAUCCUUUAGGGAAUUAUCACAGGGUGAAAGGAAUAAUUUUGGCAGUGCUGAUGAAAAAUGUGAUCUCUUUACCUAGAGGCACCUUUGCUGCCAGGCCAUUUCAGCCCAACCCUGACCUGAAGGGCUAAGUUUCUCACAGGAAAUGAGAGCAGAAGUUGGUAUCUGCAGGCUUGAUCUCUUCUGAGUUGCCCAGCUCACAGCAGUGAGUUUUGUUUGCAGUGUUGAAGUCACAACAGAGG
RNAcentral lists this long non-coding RNA (1124 nucleotides) under Taeniopygia guttata (zebra finch). RNAcentral's name for it is "lncRNA (ENSTGUG00000025825.1)". The record is from RNAcentral. Lineage: Eukaryota; Metazoa; Chordata; Aves; Passeriformes; Estrildidae.